RNAcentral lists this long non-coding RNA (535 nucleotides) under Brassica rapa (field mustard). RNAcentral's name for it is "long non-coding RNA (BRAP_LNC000408)". Lineage: Eukaryota; Viridiplantae; Streptophyta; Magnoliopsida; Brassicales; Brassicaceae. The record is from RNAcentral.
CAUCUGCAAACCUUUGGAAAUCCUCGAGGGAGGAACUCCGUCUUCUUGCUUUGAAAACCCAAAGGGGCUCUACGCCUUCUUCCAUCAUUGACCAAGAUUGGACAGGCUUCCAUGAAUCAAGUCUUAAUGGUGGUUGCCACCAAGUCAUGUUCACAUCUUUUUGACCUAUAUCCAAGAAUUCAUGUGAAUCGAACCUUGAUGAUUGCCGCCACCAAGUUCCGUUCGAAUUUUUUUUUUUUGAAUCCUUAUGAAGCAAGCCUUAAUGGUUGUAGCCACCAAGUCUUUUUCGGAUUCCACCAAACUAACACCUAUUUGUUUAUUUUUUUUUUAAUUUACCUAUAAUCUAGGGUUGAAAUAGAGAGAGAAAAUAUGAUAAAUCUAUAUAAGGUUUUACCUUCCAGACUUGUUUGAAGAAUCCGAUCCCAUGUAUACCAAUCCCCAAGACAAGCAAUUGUGUCAGGUUUAGUGUUGGAGGUCAGCUUUGGUUCCUUCAAACAAUUUCAGCAAGUGUAAAUAGUUGACAGGUUGAUCCACU